UACGUAGGUGGCAAGUGUUAUCCGGAUUUAUUGGGCGUAAAGGGUGCGCAGGCGGACUGUUUAGUCUGAGGUGAAAGCGUUGAGCUCAAAUCAAUUAAGCCUCAGAUACUGGCAGACUAGAGUGCAGAAGAGGGUUAUGGAAUUCCAUGUGUAGCGGUAAAAUGCGUAGAUAUAUGGAGGAACACCGGCGGCGAAGGCGGUAACCUGGUCUGUUACUGACGCUCAGGCACGAAAGCGUGGGGAGCAAAUA
This 250-nucleotide ribosomal RNA is filed under the name uncultured prokaryote. RNAcentral describes it as "partial 16S ribosomal RNA". It matches the Rfam family "Bacterial small subunit ribosomal RNA", at positions 524 to 774 of the family's 1533-position model. The record is from RNAcentral.